UGGUGGAGUGAUCUGUUUGGUUAAUUCCGUUAACGAACGAGACCUUAGCCUGCUAAAUAGUUGCACGUAACCUCGGCUAUGUGGGCAACUUCUUAGAAUGACUUUUCGUGUCUAACGUGAGGAAGUUUGAGGCAAUAACA
RNAcentral lists this ribosomal RNA (140 nucleotides) under uncultured eukaryote. RNAcentral describes it as "partial 18S ribosomal RNA". It matches the Rfam family "Eukaryotic small subunit ribosomal RNA", at positions 1299 to 1458 of the family's 1831-position model. The record is from RNAcentral.